GGGUCAGUAGGUUGGUCGUGCCACCGGUACGUACUGGUCUCACUGAUUCCUCCUUCCUGUAGAACCGUAAUGCCAUUAAUUUGGUGUUGCGGGGAAACAGGACUGUUACUUUGAAAAAAUUAGAGUGUUUAAAGCAAGCUAACGCUUGAAUACAUUAGCAUGGAAUAAUGAAAUAGGACGAUCGAUCCUAUUUUGUUGGUCUCUAGGAUUGACGUA
This 216-nucleotide ribosomal RNA is filed under the name Glomeromycotina sp. RNAcentral describes it as "partial small subunit ribosomal RNA". The stretch from base 40 to 216 matches the Rfam family "Eukaryotic small subunit ribosomal RNA", at positions 686 to 864 of the family's 1831-position model. Lineage: Eukaryota; Fungi; Glomeromycota. The record is from RNAcentral.